GAUGAACGCUGGCGGCGUGCCUAAUACAUGCAAGUCGAGCGAACGGACGAGAAGCUUGCUUCUCUGAUGUUAGCGGCGGACGGGUGAGUAACACGUGGAUAACCUACCUAUAAGACUGGGAUAACUUCGGGAAACCGGAGCUAAUACCGGAUGAUAUUUUGAACCGCAUGGUUCAAAGUGAAAGACGGUCUUUCUGUUACCUAUUGAUGGAUCCGCGCUGCAUUAGCUAGUUGGUAAGGUAACGGCUUACCAAGGCAACGAUGCAUAGCCGACCUGAGAGGGUGAUCGGCCACACUGGAACUGAGACACGGUCCAGACUCCUACGGGAGGCAGCAGUAGGGAAUCUUCCGCAAUGGGCGAAAGCCUGACGGAGCAACGCCGCGUGAGUGAUGAAGGUCUUCGGAUCGUAAAACUCUGUUAUUAGGGAAGAACAUAUGUGUAAGUAACUGUGCACAUCUUGACGGUACCUAAUCAGAAAGCCACGGCUAACUACGUG
RNAcentral lists this ribosomal RNA (496 nucleotides) under uncultured bacterium. Its description in RNAcentral is "partial 16S ribosomal RNA". It matches the Rfam family "Bacterial small subunit ribosomal RNA", at positions 28 to 507 of the family's 1533-position model. The record is from RNAcentral.